GGAAUUUACAGACUGGAAAACCAAAUGAGAAGUGCUUUGCACACUGGACUAAUCUGCUUGAUUUCUUUGCACAUCAGGGAACUCCAGAGUGCAUUCUCUUGUCUGAAAGGAAACUAAACCUCCACUGUUUCUCAGAGCUCCUCAGGAAUCCAGAUGAAACCACUGCUUGCUUCAGGUAUACUGUGUUUACAAGGAGUGAGCAGCCAAACUAGGGGCAGCCAAAUAGUUCUGGAACACAACAAAGAAGCUAUAAAGCCACCUAGAUCAGAGUCCUCUUCCUCAACAAGUGACAGACACAAAACCCUUUCCUCUUUAUGGGAGCAGAAAUUUUAGGGCACCAGGUUUCAUCAUUUGAAAAGCAAUAAAGAAGGAAGAAGAAGGGUGCCUAGAAUGAAG
Molecule: long non-coding RNA, 396 nt
Filed under: Crocodylus porosus (Australian saltwater crocodile)
Lineage: Eukaryota; Metazoa; Chordata; Crocodylia; Crocodylidae
Description: lncRNA (ENSCPRG00005001919.1)
Source: RNAcentral